UGGCUCAGUGGUAGAGUGCUUGCCUUGCGUGCAUGCGGCCCAGGUUCAAUUCCUUG
Molecule: transfer RNA, 56 nt
Filed under: Dipodomys ordii (Ord's kangaroo rat)
Lineage: Eukaryota; Metazoa; Chordata; Mammalia; Rodentia; Heteromyidae
Rfam family: tRNA
About the family: Transfer RNA (tRNA) molecules are approximately 80 nucleotides in length.
Source: Rfam by way of RNAcentral